RNAcentral lists this ribosomal RNA (301 nucleotides) under uncultured bacterium. RNAcentral describes it as "partial 16S ribosomal RNA". It matches the Rfam family "Bacterial small subunit ribosomal RNA", at positions 509 to 807 of the family's 1533-position model. The record is from RNAcentral.
CAGUAGCCACGGUAAAACGUAGGGUGCAAGCGUUAAUCGGAAUUACUGGGCGUAAAGCGUGCGCAGGCGGUUAUAUAAGACAGAUGUGAAAUCCCCGGGCUCAACCUGGGAACUGCAUUUGUGACUGUAUAGCUAGAGUACGGCAGAGGGGGAUGGAAUUCCGCGUGUAGCAGUGAAAUGCGUAGAUAUGCGGAGGAACACCGAUGGCGAAGGCAAUCCCCUGGGCCUGUACUGACGCUCAUGCACGAAAGCGUGGGGAGCAAACAGGAUUAGAUACCCGUGUAGUCCCUGUCUCUUAUAC